GCACAAGAGAGAAAGCAGAAAUCACAGAGUGUGCCCUGGAGUGAUCCCAAGUAGAACAAGGCCCCCCCUCGACCUUUGACAAUUUUUGGACUUUCCAAGCAGGAAGACUGAGGGGAGAAGAGAAAAAUCCUGCCGCCAGAGAGGUGCCUUCCAACUUGGGCCCCACGCUGCUCCUCCCAGUCCUGUAAAGCCUGAGAAAAUGAAAGGUCCAAGACUCUUCAGCACUUUGUGACAGUUCCCUCCAGACUCAACUCCUCCACGUGGGAUGGAGGUUUGAAAAAUCACGGAAAUGAGACCGGAGAGAUGACUGUCUGACUGGUCAGUAAAGCGCUUGCACACAAGUCCCGAUUCCCAGAGCAGAUGUCAAAGCCAAGUAAGGGGGUUGUGAAUCUAUCCCUGAGUUGGGGAAUCUGAGAUAGGAGGAUCCUCAGAGCUCAUUGGCCGGCCUGCUGGAAUCCACAAGAUCAUUUCACUGAAAGACUCUAGCUCAAUAAAGUGGAGAGCAACUGAGGAAGACGCUUAACAUCAACUCCUGGCCUCCAGACGGGUGCACAAAUCAUAUACCCCCACACACACACACACACAAGAUAUACUGUUAGAGAAAUCCCAAACUUCAGAUGGGGGAUCUACUUGUCUCGGUAUUUCUUGGACCUGAAGUCAUCAAGUCCUUCCCUGACCCUGUAGGCGAUGUUCCCAUUUAACAGACAGGAAAAUCCCAAGCCGGUAACUAAAGUCUUUAAGGAGCAGGAACAAGAGGAUUAUGUAUGCCAAGACUGAGCCCUGCUUGAACUAUAUAGUGCCAGCGUUCAUCGCAAAAUCCUGUCGGGGGGGGUAGUGUGGGGGUGGGGACAAAAGAAGUAAAACGAGAACAACAACGACGACAACAACAAAACAGCCAACUAUCACUGCCACCACAAUAAACUAAUACCCAGGAGACAGAGUCUGGAUCCCCUAACUCAGAGCUGGUUAGGGGUUAGUGGCCUUGGAGGGUACCAGGCUGGACCCCUCCCUCAUAGCCAGCAGCCUGUAGAAUAAAAGCCAGACUUCAAUCAAUCCUUGGUCAGAAGAACGGGAUCUGAGUCUUAUCUCUGACUCUGGAAGGAGAGGUGACAUCUGGGACUGGUUACAAGGCCACACACAGAAGACAAGGCUCUUCGCAGAUAACUGCCGAUAACCAGCUUCAGAGCCCUAAUCCUGGAGGCUGAUGGCUGGCGAAGGGCUUUCUGUUGAACGUGCUGUUCUGUGAUAUGGCAGUCGUCGCCCUAUACAGGUCUAUCCGUCACUGGACAGAACAAAGUUGCUCAGGGAAAGGUGAAUCAUCUGUUCUAAAGACGGACCAGGGAGAUGGCUCAGCAGAGAGGCUAAGUAACCCAGGCCAGCCUUGAACUCACUGGGUAGCUGAAGAUGACAUUGAACUCCUGAAACUUCUGCAUCCACCUCUCAAAUACUGGGUUAUAGACCUGUGCCACCAUGCCUGCUUCAUGUGAUACUGGGAUCGAAUCAGGACGUCGUGCCUGCCAGCCACGGGACUGGAAACACAAUGGAAUUUGCAGGCUUGGUUCGCUCUAAUCGGCCCAAGCCACCCCCAGAUUUUCCGUUGGUUCCGCUGGUGGGCCAGCCUCUGAGAGAACAGCCCAGCUGAGGAUGCGGCCGCGCCAUCCACCCUGCAGCUGCGCAGUCGCCGGCUGGGACACUAGGGCGGGUCCUCUUGUUGUCCCCGCCGCCGCUGCUUCUCCGGCCGCCGCCUGCAGGGGGCGCCAGGGUCCGGGGCGCCGCAAUCCCUGCCGCCACCUUCAUCCCUACGAUGAUCCCUAGCCAGGAUUAUGCAGAUUUGGGAUGGCUAUGCACCUCAGAGCUCUAAACGGCACGGGGGCCGUGGCAUUUCAAACUACUUAGAUCAUGGGCCAGCGAUGUCUCCGGUGAUAAAAGACUGCGAUUGAAUAGUUUGCAAGCUACGAAUCUAUACCAAUAUCGGAGAAUAUUCCUAAUAUCCAAUGCGUGAUUGAUUAGAAAGGAGCAAACGGAAGGCUGGCUUGAGUAAGGGGGCGCCAAGAUCCCGCGCAGCAGAGAAUAUAAGGGUCCGGACUUGGGAUUCGAGAAGGAAGGUGCCGGCUUUCAGAGAGGGAGCAUUAAUAGAUGCUCAUCCGUUAACCUGUGGCUUUCCUUUGGGUCACCAGAGGUUAGGUCACGCUGUAAGAACCAAGGGAUUGGACUCAAGGACGCCUUUUUCGACAUAUGCUAAAUAUUCCAGGGGCGGGGGCGGGAGUCCCAUCAUGCAUUUGCACUCAGGAACGACGCCCUCAGUGGGCCAGCAACACAUAGAAAUACUAAUUGCUAUGGAGCUUAAAGAUUUUUGUAUGGAAGUGAUGUCACCUAUGCUCACAUCGCAUUGGCCAAAGCAAGUCACAUGUUUACAGCGAACCUCAAAGAUGGAAAAUCUGACUCCAUCCUGUAUGCAAAGGUGGUGGUGGGGGGGGGAGGUGUUUGGAAGCAACCCUGAGCUCGCGCGUCUCCCUGCCACUCAGGUGUAGUCACGUUCUCUGAAUGCCUGGGCCGGUAAAAACCGCAAGGAAAGGGAGGGAAUGGCUACUGGGUGCCAGUUACCUUUAUAUCCAGACCCUAAGGGGGACACAUCCUGGUAGAAGUUAGCAUCAGGGUCCUAGCUGGGACACAAAAGACCAUUUGCUAAAUUCUAGCCUAUCCCCUAUCAUUCGGUUACCACCUAGCCGACGAAAAUAUUUAGUUAAGAAUGGAGGGAAAAGGGGUU
Molecule: small RNA, 2767 nt
Filed under: Rattus norvegicus (Norway rat)
Lineage: Eukaryota; Metazoa; Chordata; Mammalia; Rodentia; Muridae
Description: uncharacterized LOC102547383
Source: RNAcentral